AUGGAUGCAGAUCUCAGCCAAUGGAUUAUGAAACACUACGACCCCGAGAAGUCCCAAGUUGUUAUACCAGAGAGGGGGAAGAUCCCGGUAGAUGCAGCAAGUGUGCAUAGGAUAUGGGGGUCGCCAAACAAGGGCAUAAAGGUCUGUUAUGAGAAUUGUCCUGACAUCACAAAGGCCAUUUACAACAUCUACAACAUUACAUCCAAGAACUCACCAACCCUCACGGCAUGGUGUAAGAUGAUUGAAGAUAUGGGUGGAGCUCAUGACGACAAUUUCCUCCGUGCUUGGCUAGCAGUCGCCUUUUCUUGCUUUCUUGCACCAUCAACAAGUCUAAACAUUUCUCCAAAAAGCUUCCCUGUUUUUAUGGAUGUCAAUGGUAUAAACAAAGAUAAAUGUUUGUCAGUUUGUUGUUGA
This 414-nucleotide ribosomal RNA is filed under the name Triticum aestivum (bread wheat). RNAcentral describes it as "partial small subunit ribosomal RNA". The record is from RNAcentral. Lineage: Eukaryota; Viridiplantae; Streptophyta; Magnoliopsida; Poales; Poaceae.